UACGUAGGGGGCGAGCGUUGUCCGGAUUUAUUGGGCGUAAAGAGCUCGUAGGCGGUUUGGCAAGUCGGGUGUGAAAACUCCGGGCUCAACUCGGAGACGCCACUCGAUACUGCCAUGACUCGAGUCCGGUAGGGGAGUGCGGAAUUCCUGGUGUAGCGGUGAAAUGCGCAGAUAUCAGGAGGAACACCAGUGGCGAAGGCGAGUCCCUGGACAACACCUGACACUGAGGCACGAAAGCCGGGGGGGCAAACAGG
RNAcentral lists this ribosomal RNA (254 nucleotides) under uncultured bacterium. RNAcentral's name for it is "partial 16S ribosomal RNA". It matches the Rfam family "Bacterial small subunit ribosomal RNA", at positions 524 to 776 of the family's 1533-position model. The record is from RNAcentral.